RNAcentral lists this transfer RNA (72 nucleotides) under Gigantopelta aegis. RNAcentral describes it as "tRNA-Pro". It matches the Rfam family "tRNA". From Rfam's summary of the family: Transfer RNA (tRNA) molecules are approximately 80 nucleotides in length. Lineage: Eukaryota; Metazoa; Mollusca; Gastropoda; Neomphalida; Peltospiridae. The record is from RNAcentral.
GGCUCGUUGGUCUAGGGGUAUGAUUCUCGCUAUGGGUGCGAGGGGCCCCGGGUUCGAAUCCCGGACGAGCUG